This 400-nucleotide ribosomal RNA is filed under the name uncultured bacterium. RNAcentral describes it as "bacterial SSU rRNA". It matches the Rfam family "Bacterial small subunit ribosomal RNA", at positions 28 to 407 of the family's 1533-position model. The record is from RNAcentral.
GAUGAACGCUGGCGGCGUGCUUAACACAUGCAAGUCGAACGGGAAACAUUUUAAUGAAGCUUCGGCAGAUUUAGCUUGUUUCCAGUGGCGGACGGGUGAGUAACGCGUGGGGAACCUGCCUUAUACUGGGGGAUAACAGCCAGAAAUGGCUGCUAAUACCGCAUAAGCGCACAGAGGCGCAUGCCUCAGUGUGAAAAACUCCGGUGGUAUAAGAUGGACCCGCGUUGGAUUAGCUAGUUGGCGGGGCAAACGGCCCACCAAGGCGACGAUCCAUAGCCGGCCUGAGAGGGUNAACGGCCACAUUGGGACUGAGACACGGCCCAGGACUCCUACGGGAGGCAGCAGUGGGGAAUAUUGGCACAAUGGGGGGAAACCCUGAUGCAGCGACGCCGCGUGAAGG